This is a long non-coding RNA of Thalassophryne amazonica, 291 nucleotides long. RefSeq lists it as uncharacterized. NCBI's taxonomy places the organism in Eukaryota, Metazoa, Chordata, Actinopteri, Batrachoidiformes, Batrachoididae. The record is from RefSeq and is a predicted model, not a curated record. The transcript is spliced from 4 exons.
GACAGAACAAAUUCUUACCUGUCUGUAUAAAGAGGGGCACAUCUGCCAGCCAGUAGGCACAGAUAUCAGCACCUACUGUCAAUCACAUACUUUGCUCUCUCUUACAAGUCUUUUGACUCUGAAUAAAGCAUCAGGAUGAAGUGUGCUGCUCUCUUUCUGGUGUUAUCAGUCAUCAUCUUCAUGGCUGAACCUGGAGUGGGUCAACAGACCCACAUUGGACACGGUGGCAGUGGAAACAUCCAGGUUGGAGGAAAACAGCUUGAAAAGCGUCAAAUGUCGUUUUGAAGACGA